This is a long non-coding RNA of Falco peregrinus (peregrine falcon), 762 nucleotides long. RefSeq lists it as uncharacterized. The record is from RefSeq and is a predicted model, not a curated record. Lineage: Eukaryota; Metazoa; Chordata; Aves; Falconiformes; Falconidae. The transcript has 2 exons.
GGGUGGUACCGUGGGCAGCCUGACGUGCCGCUUCGGUGGCGUUCGGCCUCGGUCCGGGCUGAAGCGGGGAGGAAGGCGCGGCCUCAGCUUUCCCCAGCCGUCACUUUAAUGGUGUGACCCGCAAAAAGUGGGAGCUGGUGGGGGAAGGCCAGCGCGGCGUGGGGCAGCGGGGCAGCCCUCCGCCACCACGGGUUGAUAAGGUAUAUUUCCUACCCAGACAUACCCAUACCAGUAUUUUUGAGACACAGGGAAGGCUGGAAAUCAGCCCAACCAUCCCCAAGCUGAAAGCGAAGAAAGUAUUUUGUUGGUGGCAGCUCUUUUACCCUGAUUUGGCUCCUCUAAUUGCCACUGAAAAGACUUUAAUGGGAACAUGGCGUCAACCUCUCUGUUUUCGGUGCUUCAUGCCAAGCGGUUGCUAAUGCAUGUGUGCGUCCAGGUGAGCUUUUCCAGUGGGCCCAGUCAUACCUCAUGAGCUGAAGACGAGCAGACUUUUAAAUAUUCACCCUUGGAGCCCAGAAGGAAGCUUGCGACAUCGUCAUUGUACCGUAACGGGGCUCAGGGCUCUGAACAGACACAAAGCGUUGCACUGUGUGUAACAGGGUACUGCAUCAAGGAGUGGAAUCCUUACACCUGCCUACCACGUACCAAGCUCUGCCAUCCCUAACUCCAUUGGCUGAAGAACCCUGCGUAUGUGAAAAAUUUAGGUUCUGUGACUCAGUUCGGUGCUAUAAAUAAAUCCCACAGCUACAUUUCACAGUUAAA